CCUACGGGAGGCAGCAGUGGGGGAUAUUGCACAAUGGGGGGAACCCUGAUGCAGCGACGCCGCGUGGGUGAAGGAGUGCUUCGGCAUGUAAAGCCCUAUCGGCAGGGAAGAAGCAAGACGGUACCUGACUAAGAAGCCCCGGCUAACUACGCGCCAGCAGCCGCGGUAAUACGGAGGGGGCGAGCGUUAUCCGGAUUCACUGGGCGUAAAGGGAGCGUAGACGGCCAUGCAAGCCAGGGGUGAAAGCCCGGGGCCCAACCCCGGGACUGCCCUUGGAACUGUGCGGCUAGAGUGCGGGAGGGGCAGGCGGAAGUCCAGGUGUAGCGGUGAAAUGCGUAGAGAUCAGGAGGAACACCGGCGGCGAAGGCGGCCUGCUGGACUACGACUGACGUUGAGGCUCGAAAGCGUGGGGAGCGAACAGGAUUAGAUACCCGAGUAGUC
Molecule: ribosomal RNA, 441 nt
Filed under: uncultured bacterium
Lineage: Bacteria
Description: partial 16S ribosomal RNA
Rfam family: Bacterial small subunit ribosomal RNA
Source: RNAcentral